Molecule: transfer RNA, 72 nt
Filed under: Pectinophora gossypiella (pink bollworm)
Lineage: Eukaryota; Metazoa; Arthropoda; Insecta; Lepidoptera; Gelechiidae
Description: transfer RNA methionine (anticodon CAU)
Rfam family: tRNA
About the family: Transfer RNA (tRNA) molecules are approximately 80 nucleotides in length.
Source: RNAcentral
GCCUCUGUGGUCCAGUAGUUGAGCGUUGGACUCAUGAUCCGGAGGCCCCGGGUUCGAAUCCCGGCGGGGACA